This 852-nucleotide long non-coding RNA is filed under the name Marmota monax (woodchuck). The record is from RNAcentral. Lineage: Eukaryota; Metazoa; Chordata; Mammalia; Rodentia; Sciuridae.
CUGAGCACCACCUUGGCCUUCCCAGGACUGAGACCCAGCCAGCCCUGUGUCCUUAUUCUCUCUGGGUGUGGGGCUGGGUCAUAAACCCCGUGUCCUCUCUCCACCACACCUGCAAGUCCAGUGCCCCCUCCAGCAUCCCCCUCCCUCCUGUCCUCUGCCUGGUGGCUGGGGAGGCACACAGCUCCGGCCUUCUCCCUAUAGACAUAAAGGGGCAGAGUGAGGGAUGUUUCUAGAUGCCCGAGAAACCCUGAGUAAAGGCAUAGCUCAGGUGUGGUGGCCACUUUGACAUUUAAGUCAGUCAGGAACAGGUGACUGGAGUCUUAACCACGGACUCUGCUUUCCUUGACCCAAAGGUCCCUGGCCCCGGCAUCCCCCAAUUACUCCUGAUUAUGCAAACAUUUGCCAUGAAACAUCAGCUGGUCAACCGCUUUUUUUCUUUUUUCCCAAAAUGGAAAUGUCUGAAAUGUCCCCUUUGUAUAAGAGCAGCUCACAGUCACGAUGAUAGAGUGACAUAAAACCAAGCCACACAGAGUGGGAAAUGCCUGACUCCAGCUACAGCCCGUGCUGCCCCCAGGGUCCACCUCGGCUCCUGUGUCCCUCACAAAUCCUUCCCAGCACCCCCGGCUCCUCUCAGCCCUUCUGGCCACUCGGCCCUUCUGGUGAGCCUGGCCUCUUUGGUCUCCAGACCACGUUGAAGAAUCUUGGCAAGGGAAGGGCGGCUCGUCCAAACUUCUGUCUGCUGUGACAGCCCCAGCCAGGGCAGCUGACAGAUGGCGAGCUCCUGAUGGAUGAGCCGGGCAGCUCACUACCUUCUGGGGCAGCCCUUCCACUACAGGGCAGCUCUAAUUGCAG